AUUAAUUUAAAUAUUAGAAUAAUUUAUGUAAUGUGUCGUCAAAAUGACUUAACAUCCUUCAUCACACAAUUUGAAAGUUGUUAUGAGUACUUCAAUAUUUUCAGUGUCAUUGUCAUUGUUUUUUUAUCUCAGUGAAGUUCCGACAUUCGACUUGGAAAGUGCCAUUUGGUUAUUUUGUUACCCUAAGUGUAUGGAUCAUAAUUUACGGCCCAAAUGAAAGAAAUAGAUGAAGAAGAAGAUUAUAUAUGUCUGCUCUUAAAACUCGUGAAUAUGUUGAAGAUAAUAAUUUGUUGAUUUUGCUCCAAUGAUCCAUAAUGAAGAUGAACUUCCCCUUUCAGUUAGUGUGAAGGAAAAUGCAUCCAUCUCUAGUCCAUUUUCAAUCUUUACUAAUCAUUGUGUUUGUCUCUCUUUCAAUUAGCUUAACAUUUUUUUUGUUUGGUUUGUUGAUUUCCUCUUUCUUCUUAGGAUUGUAUUGUUUGCAUGUUUUUAGAAUAAGUUUUUCUUGCUUUAAACUCAUACCGAUUAAUUUUAAGUUUGUG
Molecule: long non-coding RNA, 539 nt
Filed under: Cicer arietinum (chickpea)
Lineage: Eukaryota; Viridiplantae; Streptophyta; Magnoliopsida; Fabales; Fabaceae
Description: long non-coding RNA (CARI_LNC000717)
Source: RNAcentral